UCAACCAUCAAGCCUGGCUUGUUGUUGGACUUUGCGGCUGAAAACAUGUGGCAAGUCCGAAAAAUAAUGACGGUGUCGUGUUUGACCCUAGAUGCAACGAGCUUUUUAUAGCAAGCAUUGAAGUGGUCGACCGGACUUGGUCUUAACCAUCAAUUUCUAAGG
RNAcentral lists this unclassified non-coding RNA (162 nucleotides) under uncultured Herpotrichiellaceae. RNAcentral describes it as "sequence contains ITS2". The record is from RNAcentral. Lineage: Eukaryota; Fungi; Ascomycota; Eurotiomycetes; Chaetothyriales; Herpotrichiellaceae.